UAGUCGAUGGGAAACAGGUUAAUAUUCCUGUACUUGGUGUUACUGCGAAGGGGGGACGGAGAAGGCUAUGUUAGCCGGGCGACGGUUGUCCCGGUUUAAGCAUGUAGGCUGGUUGUCCAGGCAAAUCCGGAUAAUCAAGGCUGAGGUGUGAUGACGAGGCACUACGGUGCUGAAGUAACAAAUGCCCUGCUUCCAGGAAAAGCCUCUAAGCAUCAGGUAACAUCAA
Molecule: ribosomal RNA, 226 nt
Filed under: Klebsiella pneumoniae
Lineage: Bacteria; Pseudomonadati; Pseudomonadota; Gammaproteobacteria; Enterobacterales; Enterobacteriaceae
Also listed under: 5 other names
Description: partial 23S ribosomal RNA
Rfam family: Bacterial large subunit ribosomal RNA
Source: RNAcentral